UACGUAGGUGGCAAGCGUUGUCCGGAAUUAUUGGGCGUAAAGCGCGCGCAGGCGGUCCUUUAAGUCUGAUGUGAAAGCCCACGGCUCAACCGUGGAAGGUCAUUGGAAACUGGAGGACUUGAGUACAGAAGAGGAAAGCGGAAUUCCACGUGUAGCGGUGAAAUGCGCAGAUAUCAGGAGGAACACCAGUGGCGAAGGCGGUGGUCUGGGCCGGAACUGACGCUGAGGAGCGAAAGCGUGGGUAGCAAACAGG
This 253-nucleotide ribosomal RNA is filed under the name uncultured bacterium. RNAcentral describes it as "partial 16S ribosomal RNA". It matches the Rfam family "Bacterial small subunit ribosomal RNA", at positions 524 to 776 of the family's 1533-position model. The record is from RNAcentral.